RNAcentral lists this ribosomal RNA (401 nucleotides) under Lentilactobacillus hilgardii. RNAcentral's name for it is "bacterial SSU rRNA". It matches the Rfam family "Bacterial small subunit ribosomal RNA", at positions 72 to 466 of the family's 1533-position model. Lineage: Bacteria; Bacillati; Bacillota; Bacilli; Lactobacillales; Lactobacillaceae. The record is from RNAcentral.
UAACUGAUUUGACAUUAAGACGAGUGGCGAACUGGUGAGUAACACGUGGGUAACUUGCCCCGAAGCGGGGGAUAACAUUUGGAAACAGGUGCUAAUACCGCAUAACAACAAAAACCACAUGGUUUUUGUUUAAAAGAUGGUUUCGGCUAUCACUUUGGGAUGGACCCGCGGCGUAUUAGCUAGUUGGUGAGGUAAUGGCUCACCAAGGCAAUGAUACGUAGCCGACCUGAGAGGGUAAUCGGCCACAUUGGGACUGAGACACGGCCCAAACUCCUACGGGAGGCAGCAGUAGGGAAUCUUCCACAAUGGACGAAAGUCUGAUGGAGCAACGCCGCGUGAGUGAUGAAGGGUUUCGGCUCGUAAAACUCUGUUGUUGGAGAAGAACUGGUGUCAGAGUAACU